RNAcentral lists this non-coding RNA (23 nucleotides) under Cricetulus griseus (Chinese hamster). The record is from RNAcentral. Lineage: Eukaryota; Metazoa; Chordata; Mammalia; Rodentia; Cricetidae.
CGGAAGCAUAAUUUUUUGAUACC